RNAcentral lists this ribosomal RNA (432 nucleotides) under uncultured bacterium. RNAcentral's name for it is "partial 16S ribosomal RNA". It matches the Rfam family "Bacterial small subunit ribosomal RNA", at positions 29 to 506 of the family's 1533-position model. The record is from RNAcentral.
AACGAACGCUGGCGGCAUGCCUAACACAUGCAAGUCGAACGAGACCUUCGGGUCUAGUGGCGCACGGGUGCGUAACGCGUGGGAAUCUGCCCUUCGGUUGGGAAUAACUGAGAGAAAUUUCAGCUAAUACCUUAUAAUGUCUUCGGACCAAAGAUUUAUCGCCGAGGGAUGAGCCCGCGUAGGAUUAGGUAGUUGGUGGGGUAAUGGCCUACCAAGCCGACGAUCCUUAGCUGGUCUGAGAGGAUGAUCAGCCACACUGGGACUGAGACACGGCCCAGACUCCUACGGGAGGCAGCAGGGGGGAAUAUUGGACAAUGGGCGAAAGCCUGACCCAGCAAUGCCGGGUGAGUGAUGAAGGCCUUAGGGUUGUAAAGCUCUUUUACCCGGGAUGAUAAUGACAGUCCCGGGAGAAUAAGCCCCGGCUAACCCCGU